RNAcentral lists this ribosomal RNA (141 nucleotides) under uncultured eukaryote. RNAcentral's name for it is "partial 18S ribosomal RNA". It matches the Rfam family "Eukaryotic small subunit ribosomal RNA", at positions 1299 to 1458 of the family's 1831-position model. The record is from RNAcentral.
UGGUGGAGUGAUUUGUCUGGUUAAUUCCGUUAACGAACGAGACCUCGACCUGCUAAAUAGUUUGGCGAACCCUUUGGGUUCGUACAUGACUUCUUAGAGGGACUAUCGGUGUGUAGCCGAUGGAAGUUCGAGGCAAUAACA